GUGAACCGCAAGCGCUCCGUAUAACAGUCAUGAUUUACUAGAGUGAUACACGUUUAAUACGUGGAUAACUGUGGUAAUUCUAGAGCUAAUACAUGCAUCUAAUGUCCGGCCCAGAAAUGGAAAGGACGCAACUUAUUAGGUCAAAACCAUUCGCUCGACUAGUUCGGGUGUUGUUUUGAUGAAUCUAGAUAACCAUUGUUGAUCGUACAGUCAUUGUGCUGGCGACAUCUCUUUUAAACGUCUGACUUAUCAGCUGUCGAUGGUAGACUUUGUGUCUACCAUGGCCCUCACGGGUGACGGGGAAUCAGGGUUCGAUUCCGGAGAGGGAGCCUGAGAAAUGGCUACCACAUCUAAGGAAGGCAGCAGGCACGCAAAUUACCCACUUCCAGCACGGAGAGGUAGUGACAAAAAAUAACGAUACGGGACUCUAUUGAGGCCCCGUAAUCGGAAUGAGUACACUUUAAAUCCUUUAUACAGGAUCAAUUGGAGGGCAAGUCUGGUGCCAGCAGCCGCGGUAAUUCCAGCUCCAAUAGCGUAUAUUAAAAUUGUUGCGGUUAAAAAGCUCAUAGUUGGUUCUGCUUGCAGCACUGUCGGUUCUCCGCCUGUCGGUGUUACUGGCAUGUAGCUGCAUGUCCUGUCGGUGGUAAAUGAAUUCCCGUGGUGCUUACUAAGGCUAUAGCUAGUCUAUUAGUUGAAGUCUGUGCCGUGGUGAGUGCAUUUGCCGAUUUAUCCUACCUCGGUGCUUUUAAACGAGUGUCGAGGUAGGCCGACACGAUUACUUUGAACAAAUUAGAGUGCUUAAAGCAGGCAGAAUGAUCUGUCUGAUAGUGGUGCAUGGAAUAAUAGAAUAGGACCUCGGUUCUAUUUUAUUGGUUUCAGAAUUAUGAGGAAAUGAUCAAUGUGGACUGACGGGGGCAUUCGUAUUGCGGCGUUAGAGGUGAAAUUCUUGGAUCGUCGCAAGACGCACAAAGCGAAAGCAUUUGCCAGUAUGUCUUUAAUUGAUCAGACGAAGUUAGAGUUC
This 1021-nucleotide ribosomal RNA is filed under the name Haematoloecha nigrorufa. RNAcentral's name for it is "bacterial SSU rRNA". It matches the Rfam family "Eukaryotic small subunit ribosomal RNA", at positions 82 to 998 of the family's 1831-position model. The record is from RNAcentral. Lineage: Eukaryota; Metazoa; Arthropoda; Insecta; Hemiptera; Reduviidae.